This 441-nucleotide long non-coding RNA is filed under the name Vigna radiata. RNAcentral describes it as "long non-coding RNA (VRAD_LNC003540)". The record is from RNAcentral. Lineage: Eukaryota; Viridiplantae; Streptophyta; Magnoliopsida; Fabales; Fabaceae.
AGAUCUUAGAAAUAAAAAUAAAGUAGUUUUUGAAAGGAAAAUGAUAUAUGAACAACACUUUUGAACAACAUUUAGACACGGUACAGGUGUCCAAAUUUGAUUUGUCCACGUGGCAAAGAGAGAGAAAGUGAUGGAUUUUGAAAAUAAAAUGAAAUGCUGACGUGUGGCAGAGAGAGAAAGUCCGAAAGUUGAAUCUGAUAACCAUCUCGAAAUACAAAUCACAUGCCCAUUUCGCAAACACGCGUCUGUUGCCCAUCUCGCAAACCCAUUUCGCAAACCCGCCUCUCACCAUCUCAUGCUCACCGGUGACUAAUGUCGCUGCACUUCCAUUGCCGGACACCGGCCGCCCGUCCGCCGUCUUCCAUCCACCAAGAAUCGCGGUUCCAUUUGCUCGACGGCAGAACCCUAAACCCUAAUCCAGGUGAGUCUUCACUUUUUUCC